RNAcentral lists this long non-coding RNA (768 nucleotides) under Homo sapiens (human). RNAcentral describes it as "long non-coding RNA NONHSAT149787.1". Lineage: Eukaryota; Metazoa; Chordata; Mammalia; Primates; Hominidae. The record is from RNAcentral.
CCGGCACCCCGCCCAGCCCGGACCCCAGGCACCCUCCAGCGUCAGGUGCGGAUCCCCCAGAUGCCCGCCCCGCCCCAUCCCAGGACACCCCUGGGGUCUCCAGCUGCGUACUGGAAACGAGUGGGACACUCUGCAUGCUCAGCGUCCUGCGGGAAAGGUGUCUGGCGCCCCAUUUUCCUCUGCAUCUCCCGUGAGUCGGGAGAGGAACUGGAUGAACGCAGCUGUGCCGCGGGUGCCAGGCCCCCAGCCUCCCCUGAACCCUGCCACGGCACCCCAUGCCCCCCAUACUGGGAGGCUGGCGAGUGGACAUCCUGCAGCCGCUCCUGUGGCCCCGGCACCCAGCACCGCCAGCUGCAGUGCCGGCAGGAAUUUGGGGGGGGUGGCUCCUCGGUGCCCCCGGAGCGCUGUGGACAUCUCCCCCGGCCCAACAUCACCCAGUCUUGCCAGCUGCGCCUCUGUGGCCAUUGGGAAGUUGGCUCUCCUUGGAGCCAGUGCUCCGUGCGGUGCGGCCGGGGCCAGAGAAGCCGGCAGGUUCGCUGUGUUGGGAACAAUGGUGAUGAAGUGAGCGAGCAGGAGUGUGCGUCAGGCCCCCCGCAGCCCCCCAGCAGAGAGGCCUGUGACAUGGGGCCCUGUACUACUGCCUGGUUCCACAGCGACUGGAGCUCCAAGGUGAGCCCGGAACCCCCAGCCAUAUCCUGCAUCCUGGGUAACCACGCCCAGGACACCUCAGCCUUUCCAGCAUAGCUCAAUAAACUUGUAUUGAUCAAG